Long non-coding RNA from Pantherophis guttatus, 2814 nucleotides. RefSeq lists it as uncharacterized. Lineage: Eukaryota; Metazoa; Chordata; Lepidosauria; Squamata; Colubridae. The record is from RefSeq and is a predicted model, not a curated record.
CGCCGUCUGCUCUCCCCCCCUCUCUCUCUCUCUCUCUCUCCCUGCGGCGGGCGAGACCCCGGCCGGCACCCUCUGCCUGGCAUGCCCGGCUCCCUUGGAGGAGUUUGAGGUGGCGGCUUCGCUGGUGGCAAGCCGCUGCCGUAGGAAGGGAAACCCAGGGCUAACCCCGCCCCCCACCCCACUCCCCAGCGGGUAGCCCACCAGGUUGAAAGGUUGUUGAAGUGGCCAGGUAAAAAUGAAGAAACGAUGCUGCUUCUUUCUCGAAGGGUUUCUGCCUUCAGAGCAUCUUCAGCGUUUGCCUCCCUUUUUAUUAUGAUGAAAAAAGUUAUCAAGUUUUGGAGUGGUGGGCAGAAGAGAAGAGGAGAAAAGAGAAACGACUCACGCAGAGAAAAUGAAAUAUAUUUAAAGGAUUAGAACAUAAGAGGUUUGUUAGCUCAGCUGAAUUUAAGGAGAGAGAAAGGAGGCGACAGGCUGAAGCAGUACUCUGAGGCCGUAGCCUGGCAGACGCACUUGGGAAGUGCAACUUUUUCUUCAAUCUUUGCAACUCUUCCAUAACACUUGACAGACAGAAAGCAAGGAUGGCAGGAUCACGCAAAAGCUGAUCAGCAAGGCUGCAACCUCAACAUUCUCUGCAUAUAUGUGUCGUACCACAAGCUGCAAUGGAAAAUAUUCCUGUCAUAAACUGUAGCAUGAAGCCCAGCGUCUGGACAUUUUCUGCAGGGAUUUGAUGAAGAUUAAGUAGAGAGCAGUUCCAAUGAGAUGAUGAACUGCAGAAGAGGCAAUUAAAUGUUCCACUGAUUAUGGUUAAUGGGGCUAAUUAGAGGAUGUAUUUUGAAAUCGAAAUGUCCAUGACAGUUGAGGGAAGGAGAAGAACAGAGGAAAUGCAGAGAAUAAAUAAAGUGUGUCAGUUGUUCAAGGCCUUUUCAACUCCUACAUCAGAGGUGGGUUUCAGCAGGUUCUGACCAGUUCUGGAGAACCGGUAGUGGAAAUUUUGAGUAGUUCGGAGAACUGGUAGUAAAAUUCUGACUGGCCCCGCCCCAUCUAUUCUCUGCCUCCCAUGUCCCAGCUGAUUGGGAGGAAAUGGAGAUUUUGCAGUAUCCUUCUCCUGGAGUGGGGUGGGAAUGGAGAUUUUACAGUAUCCUUCCCCUGCCAUGCCCCCUAAGCCAUGCCACGCCCAUCAAGCCACAUCCACAGAACUGGUAGUAAAAAAAUUUGAAACCCACCACUGUCCUACAUCCCCUGUUGGUCGUACUUUAUCCUGUUUUAUGCAAGGCCAAAAUUCCUUCCUGUCACAACUUUGCUACUCUCCAUCCCUUGGGUGCUUAAAAUUGUUUCUAUAUAAUUGUUAGGUCAAAGGCUUUAAAUCAGUCCCUGCCUUUCAGUCUAAUUUUCUGCACUAUUUUUUUUUUUUUAUGGAUAUUCUUUACAUGGGUACAUGUCUGUGGAGGAAGAUAUACACAAGGUUAGAGCUGUUAGAGCAAGGGUGUCAAACUCAAGACCUGUGGGCCAGAUCCGGCCGCAGGGUGCUUAGAUCUGGCCCCCAGGGCCGCCCUUCAAACAGCAAAGAACCGGCCCGCGGUGCCUCUGGCAGUGGACACUGUGCAGGGUGCUCCCGACCUCCAUUUUUGGCUGCAAUGUCUUCCUGCAGCCCUCUACCAGUGAAAAUGGAGCUUGCUGGCAGAGCGCUUGGGCUACCACAGGCAUCCCCGACAUGAAUGACGUCAAGCUGGCCACACCCACCCUGGCCACACCAUCCAGCUUUGCGAGGUCAAAUACAACCCUGAUGCAGCCCUCAGUGAAAUUGAGUUUGAUACCCCUGUGAUAGAGGAAAGCUGAGUCAGAAAUACAAAAAUAAACAAAUACACGUAGUCCUCGGUUUACACCAGUUUAUUUAGUGACCGUUCAAAGUUACAAGAGCUUUGAAAAAAGCGACUUAUGACCGUUCUUCACAGUUAUGUGAAGAACAGCAUGCCCAUGGUCACAUGAUCAGAAUUCAGAUGUUCGGCAACUGGUUUAUAUUUAUGACUGUUGCUCUUUCCCAAGGUCAUGUGAUCACCUUUUGCAACCUUCUGACAAGCAAAGUCAACGGGGAAGCCAGAGUCACUUAACAACCGGGUUACUAACUUAUCAACUGCAGUGAUUCACUUAACAACUGUGGCAAGAACAGUCGUAAAAUGGGGCAAAACUCACUUAUCAAAUGUUUCACUUAACAACAUAAAUUUUGGGCUCAAUUGUGGUCAUAAGUCGAGGACUACCUGUAUGUUAAAGUGUAACACCUAUAAUUUUGUAAUUAUUUCACCACUCUUUCAGAUCAGAUAAACUAGAGAAAAGAAGAAAAAUUAGUGGCAAGAAGAGGGAAGAUACACCUCUCAUUCUGGACCGUAAAGAGGUAGAAAGUACUAAAGAGAGCUAAGAGGGAAAAAUAUCUCAAUUUUAAUUUUAUUUGGGAGAUGGGGAAAACCCUCCAUAUUAUUUUUUAAAAGCAUUUUAUACAUAUUUCUCCGAAUAUAUAAAUAUGUAUAUAAUUUUGCCCAAUGGCACAUUUUUGCCAGUUUGCUGUCAAAUUAUUUUACCCACUUAUCUACUUUGCUAUUUAUCGCUAAUUUCCCUAAACAAGAAAAAGUUCUACAUUUGCAAAAGUAUACGAACUUCUCCUUGCCUAUGGGCAGUAUGCUAUAAAUGUUUAAAUAAAUCUAAUUUGGGAGUAAUUUGUCCUCAUGAGAUUAUUGCAUUGAUUCAAAUAUUAAUAUAUUUUAUAUGUCCAAUGAAAGAUGAUCCAGAAUUUAAGAUGCUGCUUUCCAAAUAAAAAAUAUU